Molecule: non-coding RNA, 1812 nt
Organism: Drosophila suzukii
Lineage: Eukaryota; Metazoa; Arthropoda; Insecta; Diptera; Drosophilidae
Source: RefSeq, a predicted model, not a curated record
AAGCUACAGUCAUAGACACCUUGGACAUUUCUGUUUAACCAAUUUGUGCCUUUGAAUCUAAUCGUACAACAUAUUUUCAAGCCAUAGACACCGUAGACAUUUCUGUUUAACCAAAUUGUGCCUUUGGAUCUAAUCGUACAACAUAUUUUCAAGCUAUAGCCAUAGACACCGUAGACAUUUCUGUUUAACCAAAUUGUGCCUUUGGAUCUAAUCGUACAACAUAUUUUCAAGAACCAUGGACUCCGAGUUCUCCGACAACGACGACAGUGGUUGGACCAGGAUCAAAGAGUGGCCGCCUGCCAAAGACUCCGGCGAAAGAAUAUGAUCUUUUUGUGACACUGGAGGAAAAACCAUCUCGCCAUCAAGCGGCCGUGUGAUUCAACGGGAGAAGCCACUGAACAUCGCGAUAUCUCCGGGCUGGAAGGGGACACCAGUAUCAUCUUUCCAAAGGAGGGCGACGUGGUGCCCUACUGUGCGCCAACCCACACCCGAUUUUCCGUCGGUAGUGGUGUGAUUUCCGCUUCACGGGCCUGAUCUCGCUGAAGCAGGCGCUGUGUGAUACUUUCCUGCAAGUGCCGAUGCUCCUGGGCGAGCCGCUGCAUCUCUUCACCCAUGAUGAGGUGAUCAGUACGGACUCGACGCGCCGCUUCUCGGGUCUGGGAAUGCCCCAAAAGGCCCGUGCGCGGCGACCUCAUCGUCGACUUCCCGAUCGAGUUUCCGAAAACGAUGUCAGAGUGGGCCAGAUCCUCGCUCUAGUUAAUCUUGCCCUGCUCCCCAUAAGACUACAAGCUUAUGGGGUGCAGGGCAAGAGGAAUUAGAGUGGGGAACUGCCCUUCUGUGACAUCGUUUUCGUAAUCUCAAUCGGAAAGUCUACGAUGAGGUCGCCGCGGCACGAGCCGUUUAUCGGAUGGGACAGUCCCUGUCCCGGGAAGCGGUGCAUGGAGUCCGCGCUGAUCACCUCACUCUGGGUGGACAGAUCCAUCAGCUCCCCCAAGAGCGUCGGCACUUCCAGGAGGGUAUCGCACAACGCCUGCUUCAGCGAAAUCAGAUCUGUGUAGCAUAGAUCGCACCCCUCCCGGCGGAAGAUCGGCUGAGGCUUGUCCCGAAGAACGAACCCCAAGUUGUCGACGUGGGCCUGGGACUGCUCCAUCAGUCGCGGCGGCCUCAUCGUCGACUUCUCCAUCGAAUUCCCGAAUAGAUGUCGCAGAUGGCCAGAUACUCUACUUCCUCUUGCUCUGCUCCCCAUGAGUCGCUGCCACAUCGAAAUUGACGGCGUUUUCAAGUACAUCACAUUGUAUUCCCCACUAUAACAUAUCCAGAAUUCGAGUUUCGUCAUCAAAAAAUCCACGAAAGAAACGGUUGGGUAUAGUUAAUUAGAUGUAUCAGGACUAAGCGUCGGUGGAGCGUGUCUUCAACUGAGGAUUGUGUGAAAGCGCACUCUUGGCGCUGCUUGAUGGAUUAGUGUACUUGGAGCGGAAGCGGUUAGAGAGCUUUAAAACAAAAAACCAUAAACACCUCCUGAAAAAUUCGCUGUUCCCAAAAUAUAAAAAAAAUAAAAUAAAAUAGAAACUCCUUAAUUCCGACAAGUUCUUUUGGGCAGCUCGCUAUAAAAUAUAUAAAUGAAAUUAUAAUCAAAACAGAAACAAAUAUAUCCCUAUAUAUUCUUUACGCUUCUUUGGGCAGCUUUAAGAUAUGAAAAUAUUUACAAGGCUGACCAAAACUUACCUUUUUUAAACUUCAAAAGGUGAACAUUUCGUCAUCGUAGCUCUGCAACUAUGAGAGUAAUCGCCUAAAAACUGUCAGGCAGAUGGA